Molecule: ribosomal RNA, 279 nt
Filed under: uncultured bacterium
Lineage: Bacteria
Description: partial 16S ribosomal RNA
Rfam family: Bacterial small subunit ribosomal RNA
Source: RNAcentral
UGCCAGCAUCCGCGGUACUACGGAUUGUGCAAGCGUUGUUCGGAAUUACUGGGCGUAAAGCGCACGUAGGCGGAUUAGUAAGUUAGGGGUGAAAUCCCGGGGCUCAACCCCGGAACUGCCUCUAAUACUGCUAGUCUUGAGUAUGGGAGAGGGCAGUGGAAUUUCCGGUGUAGCGGUGAAAUGCGUAGAGAUCGGAAGGAACACCAGUGGCGAAGGCGGCUGCCUGGCCCAAUACUGACACUGAGGCACGAAAGCGUGGGUAGCAAACAGGAUUAGAUA